AUGAAGGCGAAGCGGGAGGUGGAUGUGGAGUACAUCCUCUCCGUGGCAGCGCUCAUGGCACAACGCGGACGACCACACUUUGCGGUGGCGCGCGGCUACCUCGUCUCGGACGUGACCAAGUUUGGAUUCCGUGACCUUAACUUCGGCUGGGGCAAGCCAGUGUAUGCUGGUCCGGCGGAAGGCGGAGUCGUCGCCAUACCAGGCGUCGCCAGCUUCUUCAUUGCUUUACGGAACGCCAUGGGCGAGGAGGGUAUCGCAGUCCCGGUGUGCAUGCCCGGCCACACCAUGGACAAGUUCGUUAACGAGAUGGGCAAGCUCAUGCGCCCGGCAUUGGCUGACAUGUUUUCCAAGAUGUGA
This 357-nucleotide ribosomal RNA is filed under the name Triticum aestivum (bread wheat). RNAcentral describes it as "partial small subunit ribosomal RNA". Lineage: Eukaryota; Viridiplantae; Streptophyta; Magnoliopsida; Poales; Poaceae. The record is from RNAcentral.